This 545-nucleotide long non-coding RNA is filed under the name Gouania willdenowi (blunt-snouted clingfish). RNAcentral describes it as "lncRNA (ENSGWIG00000016118.1)". The record is from RNAcentral. Lineage: Eukaryota; Metazoa; Chordata; Actinopteri; Blenniiformes; Gobiesocidae.
CAGGCUCCCAUGAACUGACUGCCAUGGCUAAGCGUCUAGUAGAAUACUACCCAAUGCUGUGAGACAAGUCUACGUCCAAUACACCUGAAUGGGUAAGUCUCUCAUUUUGUUGAGGAAUUAUUUUUUUAAUCUGUUACCAAUGGUAAUAAUAGUUUGUUUUAAUUGUUUUGUUAUUUUAGGAAAUGGUGAAGAAGCAGUUGUUGAAAAGGGUUCAGAAUGUGACAACUCCAAAAAAGAAGCAAGGUCCAACCCCAUCAAGAAAAGGACCUAGAAGCCUAAAAUUCCAGAGCAGCCAGGCGACGUGCACUGAAGAGAGUGAUGAACCUUUCUCCUCCCCUGCUUCAGUCUCUUCAGCUGCUUCAUCAGUCGCCUCGUCGUCUUCCUCCACUGUGAUCCUAGAGAAGUCAACUCCUUCUACAAGUACUUCCCAAGAGAGAGCCCACAGAGCCAAGCGAGACACUAUAAAACUCUGCAGGAUUUGUACAAAACUAAGAACAAACCCAACAAGGAAGAUGUAUCCCAGCUGCUGGAAUUGGAGUUCCAAU